RNAcentral lists this small RNA (125 nucleotides) under Marmota monax (woodchuck). Lineage: Eukaryota; Metazoa; Chordata; Mammalia; Rodentia; Sciuridae. The record is from RNAcentral.
GCUGGGUGUAGAGAUACACACCUGUAAUCCCAGCAGCUCGGGAGGCUGAGGCAGGAGGAUUGUGAAUUCAAAGCCAGCCUCAGCAAAGGCAAGGGACUAAGCAACUCAGUGAGACCCUGCCUCUA